This 270-nucleotide unclassified non-coding RNA is filed under the name Hevea brasiliensis (rubber tree). Lineage: Eukaryota; Viridiplantae; Streptophyta; Magnoliopsida; Malpighiales; Euphorbiaceae. The record is from RNAcentral.
AUAAAUAAAUAAAUAAAUAAGCAAAGAGUGGACAGGUAUGAGGAACUCCUCAGAAACUUCUACUUCUGUUGUGCAAUUGGUAUACAAAAGGACAAAUAGCAAAACGUGUUUAAAGCUGGAGCUUGGAAUUUUCCAGGUUCACAUUGGGAAAAAAACCAGCUUCAUGCUUUAUAGAUCCCAUGAAAUUCUUCAACUUUGGCUACUAGCUAAAAGAAUAGUGAAUAGUACACUGAAUACAAGGACGGAUGUCGCAAUGGGAUUUUGCGGUCG